Oryza sativa Japonica Group (Japanese rice) is the source of this 601-nucleotide long non-coding RNA. RefSeq lists it as uncharacterized. NCBI's taxonomy places the organism in Eukaryota, Viridiplantae, Streptophyta, Magnoliopsida, Poales, Poaceae. The record is from RefSeq and is a predicted model, not a curated record.
AUAGUAACAAUUCAACAACCAUUCCAUAUAAAGAAGCAUCGACAUCGAGUACUACACAAAACGAUCAAGUUUGGCCCUUCCGAGCGUGUGAAGGAAGUUUCUGGAACUCAUGGCACGCUCCAAACCCUAGCGGAUAUUCUGACGUACCUGAAGAUUGUCACGGAUGUUACCACGCACGAGUUUGGUGUCCCGAAUGGAACGGCCUUCAGUGUCCCGCUCCAGGACGACGCUCGUGCCGUCGGCUUCUUUGCGCGCUCUGGACUGCUCGUCGAUGCUAUUGGCGUCUAUGUCCAACCAUGAUGCGAUGCCCUGCAGCUACGUACCUGUGCCAUUGCCCGUUACUGCAUGCUCUACAAUGGUUUGUGAGAAUCAGAGUGGAUUAUAUAUGUAUUUGCACAACCGAAUAUUUCAAUAAUUCCACUCUGAUUCUGUGUCGUAAGUCAUAUAUAUGUAUUGUAAAUCGUAUAUGUAUUGUAAGUUGAGGGAUCCUGCUGAGUCUGCGUUCUACCUGAUAACCUCAAACCUUGCCUUGUUAUUAUUUACAAAGUGUGUGCCGUCAUUGAAUAAAGAAUUGUGGUACAUACCACAUUAUAAAUGUUUA